GAUGAACGCUGGCGGCGUGCUUAACACAUGCAAGUCGAACGGACACACGAGGAGCUUUCUCCUCUGACGUUAGAGGGGGACGGGAGAGUACCAUGUGUACAACCUACCUAUAAGAAUCGGAUAACAACGGGAAAUAGGACCUAAUACCGGAUAAUAUAUUGAACCGCAUGGUUCAAUAGUUAAAGACGUUUUUGCUGUCACUUAUAGAUGGAUCCGCGCCGCAUUAUCUAGUUGGUAAGGUAACGGCUUACCAAGGUAACGAUGCGUAGCCGACCUGGAAGGGAGGAUGAGCCCCCUGGAACUGAGGACCGGUCCAAACUCCUACGGGAGGCAGCAGUAGGGAAUCUUCGGCGAAGGGGGGAAGCCUGGCGCAGCAACGGCGCGUGAGUGAUGGAGGUCUUCGGAGCGUAAAACUCUGUUAUUAGGGAAGAAAACAUCUGUAAUUAACUAUGCACGUCUUGACGGUACCUAAUCAAAAAGCCACGGCUAACUACGUG
This 497-nucleotide ribosomal RNA is filed under the name uncultured bacterium. RNAcentral describes it as "partial 16S ribosomal RNA". It matches the Rfam family "Bacterial small subunit ribosomal RNA", at positions 28 to 507 of the family's 1533-position model. The record is from RNAcentral.